RNAcentral lists this small RNA (361 nucleotides) under Pan troglodytes (chimpanzee). RNAcentral's name for it is "processed transcript". Lineage: Eukaryota; Metazoa; Chordata; Mammalia; Primates; Hominidae. The record is from RNAcentral.
AGGUUCCCCCCAGGGCAACAUGCCAGCCCCGUAGCACUGCCCACCCCACCCACUGUGGUCUGUUGUACCCCACUGCUGGGGUGGUGGUUCCAAUGAGACAGGGCACACCAAGCUCCAUCUGUGCUACAACUCAGUUGCUUAUUGAAAUGAAGAGGGAGUUUGCAAGCUGAAAAUGGAUAUGAGCUACCCUGGAGGAAUUUUUUCUUGGCUGUUACUGAGGCGGAGACACGGGUGAUGAUUGGCUUUCUGGGGAGAGAGGAAGUCCUGUGAUUGGCCAGAUCUCUGGAGCUCGCCGACGCGGUGUGAGGACGCUCCCACGGAGGCCGGAAUUGGCUGUGAAAGGACUGAGGCAGCCAUCUGG